This 569-nucleotide ribosomal RNA is filed under the name Salmonella enterica subsp. enterica serovar Infantis. RNAcentral describes it as "partial 23S ribosomal RNA". It matches the Rfam family "Bacterial large subunit ribosomal RNA", at positions 2243 to 2811 of the family's 2925-position model. Lineage: Bacteria; Pseudomonadati; Pseudomonadota; Gammaproteobacteria; Enterobacterales; Enterobacteriaceae. RNAcentral also lists the same sequence under 1 other name. The record is from RNAcentral.
GGUUGCGGACAGUGUCUGGUGGGUAGUUUGACUGGGGCGGUCUCCUCCUAAAGAGUAACGGAGGAGCACGAAGGUUGGCUAAUCCUGGUCGGACAUCAGGAGGUUAGUGCAAUGGCAUAAGCCAGCUUGACUGCGAGCGUGACGGCGCGAGCAGGUGCGAAAGCAGGUCAUAGUGAUCCGGUGGUUCUGAAUGGAAGGGCCAUCGCUCAACGGAUAAAAGGUACUCCGGGGAUAACAGGCUGAUACCGCCCAAGAGUUCAUAUCGACGGCGGUGUUUGGCACCUCGAUGUCGGCUCAUCACAUCCUGGGGCUGAAGUAGGUCCCAAGGGUAUGGCUGUUCGCCAUUUAAAGUGGUACGCGAGCUGGGUUUAGAACGUCGUGAGACAGUUCGGUCCCUAUCUGCCGUGGGCGCUGGAGAACUGAGGGGGGCUGCUCCUAGUACGAGAGGACCGGAGUGGACGCAUCACUGGUGUUCGGGUUGUCAUGCCAAUGGCACUGCCCGGUAGCUAAAUGCGGAAGAGAUAAGUGCUGAAAGCAUCUAAGCACGAAACUUGCCCCGAGAUGAGUUC